GCCAGCUACCGGGAACCCUAAGCUACCGUUAGCAAGGCACAAAAGAACAUCGUCAAACUUCGUCAAACAUUUUUUUGCAUCAGGUGCUGCGUUCCAAACAUGAAUUGUCAUGGCACUUGGGAACAAUGGAAAAAGCUGAAGGACAUCCUGGUUAAAGAUAUGGCGCCAGCCUUAUUCGAACCAAGCAGUAAGGCAUGGGUCCAUCGACGCAUCGAAGAAUGGAAUGGAAGCUGCUUCAGGACUACAAGUUUCUGCUUCUGCUUUGAUCACACUCCAAACCCUUUACCACCAUGAACUGUGGAUCACAGGGUCAGAUGUCCACUAUCAAAAUAAUUCCAGCUUCCAAACUGUGCCAAUGUGAUGAGGAGUACAAGGCAGAGACAACAAGACAACAUUAAUCCUAUGGCAAAAGAAAUUCAAUCAAACCAGAGGAGAGCCACAUCUGUCCAGGGAACUCUAUAAGCUACUUCACCUACAGCAUGACCAAAAAUUUGGACAAUACAACAAUUGAUUUUAAACCAUAGAUAGUAGAUUGCAUGCAACCUUAUUCUUAUGUUACAGUAGAUAAGAUAGAAAUAACAGAAUUGAUAAUGACCUGUACUGUAGUUAAUCACAGGUUGUGCCUUAUAAUUGUUUUAACUAUGUCCUAGCCUAUUCAUCCACCUUGGUAUUACAUGUGGGUUUGAUUGAUAGUUGAUAGUUACAUCUUGUUACAUUCUGCAAUUCAUUAUUAAAAUGGUAAAUAACACGGCAGGUGUCUUUCAAAAGUGUCAUUACAAAACAAUUUAUAUGAAGAAAUGUGAUGAGGAGUAAUAACAUCAGUAGUUACCCAAGUGGAAUACCAUUUAGCAAUUAAAUACAAAUUCCUUGCUGAAAGUAUGCAA
Long non-coding RNA from Esox lucius (northern pike), 884 nucleotides. RefSeq lists it as uncharacterized. The record is from RefSeq and is a predicted model, not a curated record. Lineage: Eukaryota; Metazoa; Chordata; Actinopteri; Esociformes; Esocidae. The transcript is spliced from 3 exons.